GCCCCAGGUGCUGACAACCCAUGCUACGCCACUGCCCACAGACAAUUAGGAAUUAUCCAAUCAUCAACUGGUUACAUCCCACACAUCCCCUCCCCUUAGCCUGAGAGAUAACAUAAUUAAGUGUACAGUUUAAACACACAUUUUUACCUAAUUUCUAUAUCUUUAAAAAUAUACAUCACAUUCACAUAAAACUAUCAUUUUCUGAAUCAGCAUACAUAGGGAACAAACAUACCCAAAAAUCAUUCAAAUCCGUUCAGCUGUUCGGGAGUUGGCUCGAAGUCAUAUCUUGACCGACCACACGCACAUUUUCAUGCCCAAAAC
This is a non-coding RNA of Pelobates cultripes (western spadefoot toad), 321 nucleotides long. NCBI's taxonomy places the organism in Eukaryota, Metazoa, Chordata, Amphibia, Anura, Pelobatidae. The record is from the annotation of a GenBank genome assembly.